This 342-nucleotide ribosomal RNA is filed under the name uncultured bacterium. Its description in RNAcentral is "partial 16S ribosomal RNA". It matches the Rfam family "Bacterial small subunit ribosomal RNA", at positions 338 to 694 of the family's 1533-position model. The record is from RNAcentral.
CCUACGGGUGGCUGCAGUGAGGAAUAUUGGUCAAUGGGGGAAACUCUGACCCAGCAACGCCGCGUGAAUGAUGAAGGUCUUCGGAUUGUAAAGUUCUUUCCUAAGGGAAGAAGAAAGUGACGGUACCUUAGGAAUACGCCUCGGCUAACUCCGCGCCAGCAGCCGCGGUAAUAUGGAGGGUGCAAGCGUUACUAGGAAUCACUGGGCGUAAAGAGCGCGUAGGGGGGGUAGCAAGUCAGAUGUGAAAGCCUAGGGCUUAACCAUAGAACUGCCUUUGAAACUUUUGUUCUAGAGUAAGGGAGAGGUAGGUGGAAUUCUUGGUGUAGGGGUAAAAUCCGUAGA